UUUCAGUACAAGCAAGUCAAAGAGAGAAGGAAGAUGGGUAAUGACAGGACCAGUGCCGACUGUUGUUUGCACUAGAAUACGUAUUACUGUGGAGGCUGCAGGGCUGCUUAGCCAAUAUGAAUGUUGGAAAUCCCUGAACAUGCGUUUAUCCAUGCUGCAUCACCUGCUUGGUGUUGUCAUGGCAUCUUGGUGAGUGGUGGCAUCUUGGUGAGGGGUGAGUGAAGCAACCAGGUUGCAACACAGGGAAAACAGUAAUAUAGCAGAACCUCUUGUGCUUGCCUUACAUCCCAAGUAUAUAAAAUAUUUACCUUUCA
Long non-coding RNA from Rhipicephalus microplus (southern cattle tick), 314 nucleotides. RefSeq lists it as uncharacterized. NCBI's taxonomy places the organism in Eukaryota, Metazoa, Arthropoda, Arachnida, Ixodida, Ixodidae. The record is from RefSeq and is a predicted model, not a curated record.